RNAcentral lists this ribosomal RNA (234 nucleotides) under uncultured bacterium. RNAcentral describes it as "partial 16S ribosomal RNA". It matches the Rfam family "Bacterial small subunit ribosomal RNA", at positions 524 to 755 of the family's 1533-position model. The record is from RNAcentral.
UACGUAGGGUGCAAGCGUUAAUCGGAAUUACUGGGCGUAAAGCGUGCGCAGGCGGUUCGCUAAGACAGAUGUGAAAUCCCCGGGCUUAACCUGGGAACUGCAUUUGUGACUGGCGGGCUAGAGUAUGGCAGAGGGGGGUAGAAUUCCACGUGUAGCAGUGAAAUGCGUAGAGAUGUGGAGGAAUACCGAUGGCGAAGGCACGCCCCGUGGGCCAAUACUGACGCUCAUGCAACG